Camellia sinensis is the source of this 760-nucleotide non-coding RNA. Lineage: Eukaryota; Viridiplantae; Streptophyta; Magnoliopsida; Ericales; Theaceae. The record is from RefSeq and is a predicted model, not a curated record.
AAUCUUAGAGACACUUUCAAAAUUUUGGAAAAUAUUUUGUGACUAGCCAACUUCUUGAAAAUUCACAUAUGUAUUAAAUCUUUGGUUGUUUAGGAAUUUUGGUUGGUUCUGAGACAGAGGCAUUAAGGAUGUUGGGAGAAUUCAUUACCAGAGGACUUGUGUUGGUUCUUGGGUAUGCAUACCCUGCCUUUGAGUGUUUCAAAACCAUGGAAAAGAACAAAGUUGAGAAGGCAGAGCUUCAAUUUUGGUGUCAAUAUUGGUAUGAGGAAGCAAGGAGGAGGAAAAGCUGCGUAGUCAACGGGAGGAUUUCAGUGACAUGAUUGCCGAGGUGUGCAUCUUUCACAAUCUUUUUGAUUUUGUACUUGUUUUAAUUAGUAUUUAUGGACACUUUUGUUCUGAUGAGGUGGAAUUUUUCAAAAUGAGAAGAAGAGGAAACGGAAAAUGCAGAAAAAGGAUGGAAAAUCGAAGAAAAAGGAUUUCAAGUUCUAGGACGUGCUGCUGGUUUUGUGAUCGGAAUGUUAGAAUGCUAGAUCCAUUAUGCUUUUCUUAGGCACCUGUAAAUUUUUAUCAUUCGGAAUCAUAAUUGUUGUGUGUCCAUUGCCAAAAAUGUAGUCCCAUUCCAUGGAACCAAACACAGCCUUGGUGUUAUGGGUUUGGUUAAUGAGAAAUUUGUUGGUGAUUUUAUAUGCUGCUACUUUCUAUUUCCCCAUUACUUAGGAUGGAAAAUAUGUUAUAUAUUAAAGUUGCUUGAUGGAUUUCA